RNAcentral lists this ribosomal RNA (489 nucleotides) under uncultured Lachnospiraceae bacterium. RNAcentral's name for it is "partial 16S ribosomal RNA". The record is from RNAcentral. Lineage: Bacteria; Bacillati; Bacillota; Clostridia; Lachnospirales; Lachnospiraceae.
CACGUAGUUAGCCGGGGCUUCUUAGUCAGGUACUGUCAUCUUCUUCCCUGCUGAUAGGGCUUUACAUACCGAAAUACUUCUUCACCCACGCGGCGUCGCUGCAUCAGGGUUUCCCCCAUUGUGCAAUAUUCCCCACUGCUGCCUCCCGUAGGAGUUUGGGCCGUGCCUCAGUCCCAAUGUGGCCGGUCACCCUCUCAGGUCGGCUACUGAUCGUCGGUUGGUGGGCCGUUACCCGCAACUGCCUAAUCAGACGCGGGGCCAUCUCAUACCACCGGAGUUUUUCACACUGUACCAUGCGGCACUGUGCGCUAUGCGGCAUUAGCAGUCAUUUCUAACUGUUACUUCCCCUGUAUGAGGCACGGUUCCCCAGCGUUACUCACCCGUCCGCCGCUCAGUCACAUGGCCUUUCCAUCCGUAAAAUUCAAAUCAUGUGUCUUCGCUCGACUUGCAUGUGUUAAGCUACGCCGCAGUCGUUCACUCCUAGACGCA